CCUACGGGGGGCUGCAGUGGGGAAUAUUGGACAAUGGGGGGAACCCUGAUCCAGCCAUGCCGCGUGUGUGAAGAAGGCCCUCGGGUUGUAAAGCACUUUCAGUGAGGAAGAACGCCUGGUGGUUAAUACCCAUCAGGAAAGACAUCACUCACAGAAGAAGCACCGGCUAACUCCGUGCCAGCAGCCGCGGUAAUACGGAGGGUGCGAGCGUUAAUCGGAAUUACUGGGCGUAAAGCGCGCGUAGGUGGCUUGAUAAGCCGGUUGUGAAAGCCCCGGGCUCAACCUGGGAACGGCAUCCGGAACUGUCGAGCUAGAGUGCAGGAGAGGAAGGUAGAAUUCCCGGUGUAGCGGUGAAAUGCGUAGAGAUCGGGAGGAAUACCAGUGGCGAAGGCGGCCUUCUGGACUGACACUGACACUGAGGUGCGAAAGCGUGGGUAGCAAACAGGAUUAGAUACCCGUGUAGUC
This 465-nucleotide ribosomal RNA is filed under the name Vreelandella stevensii. Its description in RNAcentral is "partial 16S ribosomal RNA". It matches the Rfam family "Bacterial small subunit ribosomal RNA", at positions 338 to 795 of the family's 1533-position model. The record is from RNAcentral. Lineage: Bacteria; Pseudomonadati; Pseudomonadota; Gammaproteobacteria; Oceanospirillales; Halomonadaceae.